RNAcentral lists this long non-coding RNA (687 nucleotides) under Setaria viridis. RNAcentral describes it as "long non-coding RNA (SVIR_LNC004499)". Lineage: Eukaryota; Viridiplantae; Streptophyta; Magnoliopsida; Poales; Poaceae. The record is from RNAcentral.
AUACACCUAUCCCUUGUCUAGAUCGUGUCUGAGUACACCCCUCAGUGGGCCGUCCAAGGUCUACUCGUGGGCCUGGGGUGCAUGCCCGAAAACAGCCCUAGUACAUCAGCAUGGACCUUUCGCGCUUGACCUUCACCUCAUGCCGUCGACCGUCACGUCACAUCCUACACCUACACAUCACAAGCCAAGAGACACAACACACAACAUACGGUAUACUCAAACACCACAACACAACUCACACAACGCAACACAUCCGGUUAGCCGUUAGCAUAAUCAUGCAUAUAUGAAACAUGGACUCAACCGGUAAAGCCUCAAAUCAUUACAAAUAGAUCAAGGUACUUCUCAACUUGGUCUCUCAAUCUCCCCCUUGAUAAGUGCAUUGACAAAAGAUGAUUUGAAAGCAAAAGAAAAAAAACUCUUUCAAGUGCCCAAAAGUCAAGUAAAAGCAAACACAAGGCAACUUGAUAUGAGAAAGGAUCAUGCAAGGUCCAAACUAAAAUUUUAGGUUGCCAUCAAAGCCAUUUUUCAAUCUCCCCUUUGAUGAAUCCCACAAGACAACCAAAGAGUCAAGCGAAAGACACAAGAGCUUCAUGAAUCCGAAAACAUCAUCAAAGCCAUUUCGGCAUUUGUCAAACUCUCAUCACUAUAAAAUCAAGGUUCAUAUCAACUUGAUUUUCUCAAUCUCCC